UCCGGUAUGGUGUAACGGCUAACAUUGCCGCCUUUCACUGUAUACUGCAGCGCGCGGCAGCUCGGGGUUCGAUUCCCCGUACCGGAA
Non-coding RNA from Asterophora parasitica, 87 nucleotides. Lineage: Eukaryota; Fungi; Basidiomycota; Agaricomycetes; Agaricales; Lyophyllaceae. The record is from the annotation of a GenBank genome assembly.